GAUGAACGCUGGCGGCGUGCCUAAUACAUGCAAGUCGAGCGAACAGACGAGGAGCUUGCUCCUCUGACGUUAGCGGCGGACGGGUGAGUAACACGUGGAUAACCUACCUAUAAGACUGGGAUAACUUCGGGAAACCGGAGCUAAUACCGGAUAACAUGUUGAACCGCAUGGUUUAACAGUGAAAGACGGUCUUGCUGUCACUUAUAGAUGGAUCCGCGCCGCAUUAGCUAGUUGGUAAGGUAACGGCUUACCAAGGCAACGAUGCGUAGCCGACCUGAGAGGGUGAUCGGCCACACUGGAACUGAGACACGGUCCAGACUCCUACGGGAGGCAGCAGUAGGGAAUCUUCCGCAAUGGGCGAAAGCCUGACGGAGCAACGCCGCGUGAGUGAGGAAGGUCUUCGGAUCGUAAAACUCUGUUAUUAGGGAAGAACAAAUGCGUAAGUAACUAUGCACGUCUUGACGGUACCUAAUCAGAAAGCCACGGCUAACUACGUG
RNAcentral lists this ribosomal RNA (497 nucleotides) under uncultured bacterium. RNAcentral describes it as "partial 16S ribosomal RNA". It matches the Rfam family "Bacterial small subunit ribosomal RNA", at positions 28 to 507 of the family's 1533-position model. The record is from RNAcentral.